Molecule: ribosomal RNA, 388 nt
Filed under: uncultured bacterium
Lineage: Bacteria
Description: bacterial SSU rRNA
Rfam family: Bacterial small subunit ribosomal RNA
Source: RNAcentral
UAGGGAAUAUUGCACAAUGAGCGAAAGCUUGAUGCAGCAACGCCGCGUGCGCGAUGACGGCCUUCGGGUUGUAAAGCGCUUUUCGGGGAGAUGAGGAAGGACAGUAUCCCCGGAAUAAGUCUCGGCUAACUACGUGCCAGCAGCCGCGGUAACACGUAGGAGGCAAGCGUUAUCCGAAUUUACUGGGCGUAAAGCGCGUGCAGGCGGUUCGGUAAGUUGGAUGUGAAAUCUCCCGGCUCAACUGGGAGGGGACGUUCAAUACUGUCGGACUUGAGGACGAUAGAGGGAGGUGGAAUUCCCGGUGUAGUGGUGAAAUGCGUAGAUAUCGGGAGGAACACCAGUGGCGAAAGCGGCCUCCUGGAUCGUUCCUGGCGCUCAGACGCGAAAG